AGUGAACGCUGGCGGCGUGCCUAAUACAUGCAAGUCGAACGGAGUGGCGCACGGGUGAGUAAUAUAUAGCUAAUCUGCCCCUUGCUGGAGGACAAAAGUUAGUAAUGACUGCUAAUACUCCAUAUAAAGGGAUGAGACUACAUCGUAUCAGCGAGUCGGUGGGGUAACGGCCUACCGAGGCUAUGACGCGUAACUGGUCUGGGAGGAUGAGCAGUAACAUUGGAACAGGGACACGGUCCGAACUCGUACCCAACGCAGCACUAGGGAAUAUUGCGCAAUGGGGGAUGCCCUCAUGCGGCAUCGGCGCGUGGAGCAUGACACCUGUCGAUGCCUAAGGUACUUUUGUUAGGGAUGCAGUACCUUACGAAUAGGCACCGGGCAGCCCGGUGCAAGCCGCCGCGGUAAUUC
RNAcentral lists this ribosomal RNA (408 nucleotides) under uncultured bacterium. Its description in RNAcentral is "partial 16S ribosomal RNA". It matches the Rfam family "Bacterial small subunit ribosomal RNA", at positions 29 to 526 of the family's 1533-position model. The record is from RNAcentral.